RNAcentral lists this ribosomal RNA (689 nucleotides) under uncultured bacterium. RNAcentral's name for it is "bacterial SSU rRNA". It matches the Rfam family "Bacterial small subunit ribosomal RNA", at positions 141 to 850 of the family's 1533-position model. The record is from RNAcentral.
GGAUAACAUACCGAAAGGUAUGCUAAUACGGGAUAAUAUAUUUGAGAGGCAUCUCUUAAAUAUCAAAGGUGAGCCAGUACAGGAUGGACCCGCGUCUGAUUAGCUAGUUGGUAAGGUAACGGCUUACCAAGGCGACGAUCAGUAGCCGACCUGAGAGGGUGAUCGGCCACAUUGGAACUGAGACACGGUCCAAACUCCUACGGGAGGCAGCAGUGGGGAAUAUUGCACAAUGGGCGAAAGCCUGAUGCAGCAACGCCGCGUGAGUGAUGAAGGCCUUCGGGUCGUAAAACUCUGUCCUCAAGGAAGAUAAUGACGGUACUUGAGGAGGAAGCCCCGGCUAACUACGUGCCAGCAGCCGCGGUAAUACGUAGGGGGCUAGCGUUAUCCGGAUUUACUGGGCGUAAAGGGUGCGUAGGCGGUCUUUCAAGUCAGGAGUGAAAGGCUACGGCUCAACCGUAGUAAGCUCUCGAAACUGGGAGACUUGAGUGCAGGAGAGGAGAGUGGAAUUCCUAGUGUAGCGGUGAAAUGCGUAGAUAUUAGGAGGAACACCAGUUGCGAAGGCGGCUCUCUGGACUGUAACUGACGCUGAGGCACGAAAGCGUGGGGAGCAAACAGGAUUAGAUACCCGGGUAGUCCACGCUGUAAACGAUGAAUAGUAGGUGUCGGGGGUUACCCCCUUCGGUGCCGCA